AGCAACCAGAGAGACACGCCCCCCCACCAAAACGCAAGAGCAACUCCGCCCUCCCAUUGGCUACGCCGCCUGUGACCCCGCCCCUGAGGAACCAGAGCUGGGGCCCAGGGGGCUGGGCCAGCCUCAGGGGAGGGGCCUUAAAGAGCCCCGGCGGUGUCCAGUGCGCCCAGAGCCGGCAGCGGAGACAAGCAAGAUAGGAAAGGUGAAGGAGCUAAUGUCACAGAGAACUGAAGUAAUUUGUCCGAGACCCCACAGCUUCUGGUGAACCAGGAUUUGAACCCAGGCAAUCGGCACCUGAAUGAGGGCUCCACCAUGCCACUGUACCCCCUCAGAGGGAAUCUUGCCCUUCCUCCCCCCUCUUCCCCUCCUGCAAGGCUCCCUAGUCCACUCACCUUGCCGAAGGUCAAUUUCUGCCAGCUGCCCAUGAGUGUUGCCCACGAUCACUGAACUAAGGAGGAGACCAGAGGUGGCCUCUAGGACUGGCCGACGCUGGGGAGAGGCUGGAUCGUAGACACGGACCUGGAGAACACCGAAGCAUCACGAGAGCACCCUCA
Long non-coding RNA from Panthera uncia (snow leopard), 554 nucleotides. RefSeq lists it as uncharacterized. The transcript has 3 exons. Lineage: Eukaryota; Metazoa; Chordata; Mammalia; Carnivora; Felidae. The record is from RefSeq and is a predicted model, not a curated record.